Malus domestica (apple) is the source of this 304-nucleotide long non-coding RNA. RefSeq lists it as uncharacterized. The record is from RefSeq and is a predicted model, not a curated record. NCBI's taxonomy places the organism in Eukaryota, Viridiplantae, Streptophyta, Magnoliopsida, Rosales, Rosaceae.
GCUCAAGCAGAAAUUACAGAGGAGCUUAUUUGUUGGAGAUUUGAAGAGUAAAACUUAGCAGCGCAGUACCGCUGGAAGUGGUAAUUGCUAAUCAGGGAUAAAGUGAGCGAAUCACAAGUCGACCAAGUCUUGAAUGAUGAAUUGAGCCAGAUCAUUGAGGUCUCUUUGUCAAGUUAAAUUUUCAUUCUACUUUUUAUUUGUAAUGCUCGGUUCUUCACUCAAACAUUGUUUAUGAAGUGAAUGAAUUUGCAUAUGUUUGAAUAAAUUUCCAAUCCCGCAGCAACGCGCGGGCACCAUUGCUAGU